CCAUCAUGCAGUGGUGUGGAAUGAGCCAAGGGCUAGUGUACCACGCUUCUCUACAGCAUGGUGUUACUAUCUUCUGUGUAUUGUUGCAGAUGCCUAGAGCAUGAGUGAGCUUCUAAUUUACAUGUAAGCUAUUAAAUCUGCCAUAGAGCGAGCUAUUCAUCACGAACAAGAUGUGCUGAAGGAGCUUAUCAAAGCUUGGAAAAAUGCAGAAAUUUGGCUUUGAACUGGUAUUUUUCACGUGGUAUUCUGCAGAAAAUCACACUAAGGUGGUAUUUUCAGACUGAAAUGUGCAUAAGUGUUCUACUGUAAUUUGACUUCUUACUAUGGAUUGUGCCAGUCUUCGUGGAAAUUAACUAAUUUACUAAUCUCAAGAAACGAAUUCACCUUUACAGAAGAGGAAACGAAUUCAGAGGGAUAAAUAAACUUGUCCAGGUCCAUGGGAAACAGUUAUCCAGUCAGUAAGCUGGUGGUAAGCUGGAUAAUGGCUCACGAAGUUUCAGCGAAUGUUAUACCAGCAGAAACCCUGCCAGCUUGGACUGAAAAUGACUGAGAGGAUAGAAUGAAAAUCUACAGAAAGAAGAAUUGUCCUCUUGGAUGGAUUAUAUGCUGAGAUUCACCAACACCUGAUUUAGAUAACUUGAUUUGAGACUUUUGAAUGGAUAAGAAUUAGAUGAGAUUUUUAGAGUAGAAGUUGGAAUAGGUCUGAACCUAUGGCCUUCAAGCACUGUGGGGUGAUUUUUCAGGGCCUGGGCACUCUCCUGAGCUUUUGUACUCAAGGCUAGAACUCUACCUCUUAA
This is a long non-coding RNA of Dipodomys spectabilis (banner-tailed kangaroo rat), 797 nucleotides long. RefSeq lists it as uncharacterized. The record is from RefSeq and is a predicted model, not a curated record. Lineage: Eukaryota; Metazoa; Chordata; Mammalia; Rodentia; Heteromyidae. The transcript is spliced from 5 exons.